Capsicum annuum is the source of this 87-nucleotide non-coding RNA. NCBI's taxonomy places the organism in Eukaryota, Viridiplantae, Streptophyta, Magnoliopsida, Solanales, Solanaceae. The record is from Rfam.
GGGCUUAUGAUGAUAACUAAAAUUAUCUUAGCGAAUUUCAGAGAAAUUUAAUUAUCAGUGAUCUGAUUGUUACACACACUGAGGUGC